GAUGAACGCUGGCGGCGUGCCUAAUACAUGCAAGUCGAGCGAACGGACGAGAAGCUUGCUUCUCUGAUGUUAGCGGCGGACGGGUGAGUAACACGUGGAUAACCUACCUAUAAGACUGGGAUAACUUCGGGAAACCGUAGCUAAUACCGGAUAAUAUUUUGAACCGCAUGGUUCAAAAGUGAAAGACGGUCUUGCUGUCACUUAUAGAUGGAUCCGCGCUGCAUUAGCUAGUUGGUAAGGUAACGGCUUACCAAGGCAACGAUGCAUAGCCGACCUGAGAGGGUGAUCGGCCACACUGGAACUGAGACACGGUCCAGACUCCUACGGGAGGCAGCAGUAGGGAAUCGUCCGCAAUGGGCGAAAGCCUGACGGAGCAACGCCGCGUGAGUGAUGAAGGUCUUCGGAUCGUAAAACUCUGUUAUUAGGGAAGAACAUAUGUGUAAGGAACUGUGCACAUCUUGACGGUACCUAAUCAGAAAGCCACGGCUAACUACGUG
This 497-nucleotide ribosomal RNA is filed under the name uncultured bacterium. RNAcentral describes it as "partial 16S ribosomal RNA". It matches the Rfam family "Bacterial small subunit ribosomal RNA", at positions 28 to 507 of the family's 1533-position model. The record is from RNAcentral.